This 329-nucleotide unclassified non-coding RNA is filed under the name soil metagenome. Its description in RNAcentral is "partial contains 5.8S ribosomal RNA, internal transcribed spacer 2, and large subunit ribosomal RNA". The stretch from base 1 to 120 matches the Rfam family "5.8S ribosomal RNA", at positions 35 to 154 of the family's 154-position model. The record is from RNAcentral.
GAUGAAGAACGUAGCGAAAUGCGAUAAGUAAUGUGAAUUGCAGAAUUCAGUGAAUCAUCGAAUCUUUGAACGCAUAUUGCGCCCCUUGGUAUCCCGAGGGGCAUGCCUGUUCGAGCGUCAUUUCACCACUCAAGCCUGGCUUGGUGUUGGGCGACGUCCUCUUUGGGGACGCGCCUCGAAACGCUCGGCGGCGUGGCACCGGCUUUAAGCGUAGCAGAAUCUUUCGCUUUGGAAGUCGGGGCCCCGUCUGCCGGAAGACCUGCUCGCAAGGUUGACCUCGGAUCAGGCAGGGAUACCCGCUGAACUUAAGCAUAUCAAUAAGCGGAGGA